UGUCCUAGAGGUGGGGGCCCAA
Molecule: non-coding RNA, 22 nt
Filed under: Rattus norvegicus (Norway rat)
Lineage: Eukaryota; Metazoa; Chordata; Mammalia; Rodentia; Muridae
Source: RNAcentral